Molecule: ribosomal RNA, 303 nt
Filed under: Actinomyces oris
Lineage: Bacteria; Bacillati; Actinomycetota; Actinomycetes; Actinomycetales; Actinomycetaceae
Description: bacterial LSU rRNA
Rfam family: Bacterial large subunit ribosomal RNA
Source: RNAcentral
CCCUAUCCUCUGCGCGCGCAGGAGACUUGAGAAGGCCUGUCCCUAGUACGAGAGGACCGGGACGGACGAACCUCUGGUGUGCCAGUUGUCCCGCCCGGGGCACGGCUGGUUGGCUACGUUCGGGAAGGGUAACCGCUGAAAGCAUCUAAGCGGGAAACCAUCUUCAAGAUGAGGUCUCCACAAGGACACCUCGGUGUUCUUGGUAGGCCCCCAGCAGACUACUGGGUUGAUAGGCCAGAAGUGGAAGACCGGCAACGGUUGACUGAGCUGACUGGUACUAAUAGGCCAACACAAACAACAACA